CUUCACACUGCAUCCUCGCGACUAAUGACAAUCCUUAACCCUCAUUGAGUUAAAGUCUCUCAUUAGCCGCGCGAACCUCUGCACCGGAAGAUCCUAUUUUAAAAAUUUACUUUUCUUACUUUUUACUUUUCUUACUUAAGUAAUAAGCAACAACAAUAUACUAGCGUAUUUUAUCAUUGCGUCUUAGAAAAAAGGGGNN
RNAcentral lists this small RNA (199 nucleotides) under Yersinia aleksiciae. RNAcentral's name for it is "SraG RNA". It matches the Rfam family "SraG RNA". From Rfam's summary of the family: This RNA was discovered in E. coli during a large scale screen. Lineage: Bacteria; Pseudomonadati; Pseudomonadota; Gammaproteobacteria; Enterobacterales; Yersiniaceae. The record is from RNAcentral.